GGACCCGCACAAGUAGUGGAGCAUGUGGUUUAAUUCGAAGAUACGCGCAGAACCUUACCAACACUUGACAUGUUCGUCGCGACUUUGAGAGAUCAAAGUUUUUCGGUUCGGCCGGACGAAACACAGGUGCUGCAUGGCUGUCGUCAGCUCGUGUCGUGAGAUGUUGGGUUAAGUCCCGCAACGAGCGCAACCCUCACUUUUAGUUGCCAUCAUUAAGUUGGGCACUCUGAAAGAACUGCCAGUGAUAAGCUGAGGAAGGUGGGGAUGACGUCAAGUCCUCAUGGCCCUUACGUGUUGGGCUACACACGUGCUACAAUGGUAUCUACAACAGGAAGCAAAACUGCGAAAGUUAAG
RNAcentral lists this ribosomal RNA (354 nucleotides) under uncultured bacterium. Its description in RNAcentral is "bacterial SSU rRNA". It matches the Rfam family "Bacterial small subunit ribosomal RNA", at positions 917 to 1267 of the family's 1533-position model. The record is from RNAcentral.